Non-coding RNA from Danio rerio (zebrafish), 576 nucleotides. NCBI's taxonomy places the organism in Eukaryota, Metazoa, Chordata, Actinopteri, Cypriniformes, Danionidae. The record is from RefSeq and is a predicted model, not a curated record.
CCAACGUUAAAGUACACUGCAUAAUUUGUGUGGCAGGUUAAAAUAUUUUUGAAGGUAAACAUUUUAAAUUUUGCACGAAGUUCCCUUUUGGCUGCAAAUAACUUUCUUUUUUUCCUGUCAAUAAUUUCAGAGACAACCCAUCACCAUCUCCAGCAAUGCUCAGAAAUUGAUGUUUGCCUCAAACUACUUCUUGAACAUUUCACACCCAGGAGUGCAAAGUGCAAGGCUAGAGUUUGUGCAAAGCAGGUUUCUUUUAAAAUGGAACCCAGAGAAGUAUCGGAAGUAGAGAAGACCAGAGGAAUCAGAGAAGAAUCGGAAGUGGAGAAGACCAGAUCAAGGAAGACCACAUUGAGAUCUGCGGAGGAAACCGAAGAGCUCGAGGAAAACCCACACAAACACGGGGAGAGCAUGCAAACUCCACACAGAAAUGCCGGCUUGGCCAGCAAAAACAGAUCACACUUCACUUUACUUCAGUGAAAUAUUGGACCAGAUGUUCCAGAAAGGGGAUGGGAAAACUCUGCCUGCUGAAGUGGACUCUGUCCAACGUUAAAGUACACUGCAUAAUUUGUGUGGCAG